This 85-nucleotide transfer RNA is filed under the name Lentisphaerae bacterium GWF2_45_14. RNAcentral describes it as "tRNA-Leu". It matches the Rfam family "tRNA". Rfam says of the family: Transfer RNA (tRNA) molecules are approximately 80 nucleotides in length. Their secondary structure includes four short double-helical elements and three loops (D, anti-codon, and T loops). Further hydrogen bonds mediate the characteristic L-shaped molecular structure. tRNAs have two regions of fundamental functional importance: the anti-codon, which is responsible for specific mRNA codon recognition, and the 3' end, to which the tRNAs corresponding amino acid is attached (by aminoacyl-tRNA synthetases). tRNAs cope with the degeneracy of the genetic code in two manners: having more than one tRNA (with a specific anti-codon) for a particular amino acid; and 'wobble' base-pairing, i.e. permitting non-standard base-pairing at the 3rd anti-codon position. The record is from RNAcentral. Lineage: Bacteria; Pseudomonadati; Lentisphaerota.
GCUCGGGUGGCGGAAUCGGCAGACGCGCAUGUUUGAGGGGCAUGUGGAGUAAUCCGUGAGGGUUCAAGUCCCUCCUCGAGCACCA